Long non-coding RNA from Spodoptera litura, 835 nucleotides. RefSeq lists it as uncharacterized. NCBI's taxonomy places the organism in Eukaryota, Metazoa, Arthropoda, Insecta, Lepidoptera, Noctuidae. The record is from RefSeq and is a predicted model, not a curated record.
GAACAGCUUGGCUCAAGGUAUGUUCCUGGCUGGUGGACGAGGAGCCUAUGCCGCCACACCACUCCAGGGACCACUGGCAUAUCUUGAGAAGACAGCUACCAAUAUAGACAUGGUGGGUCUGGGCGAUGGAAGAAGGUGACGCGGCCGCGGGAGGGGCAGGGGUAGAGGCCGCGGCAGAGGCCGAGGUCGUGGUGCAUCCCCUGAGUAUGGUGGCAGCAUGACUCCUCCAUAGCGCGCCCCCUCCCGGCGGCGUCCGAGAUCGCGCCGGACACACAAACAUACACACUCACAGACAUACAAGGUGUUUUAUUAUGAAAAAAGUAUAACGCCACCUAUUUAGGUAUAUGGGAAGUAUAGUUUCAAGAAUUAUGUAAUAGAUGGCGCGCAACUUAUAUUGGCCCUUGUGUUUUUGAGUUUUGUUUUUUUAUUGUUUUAUUCUUGCUUGUUUUUUAAAUUUAAAAGUAAUUACAAUAAUUGAUUAGAUGCACAUGUCAUUGUUAACUCCGAAAGUUUUUCUCAAAUUAUAAUUGUCGAACUUACACGAUACUUUUUUUUUUAAAGAAAACUUAUGUUUUUACAAGAAAUACUUAUUUUAUUUAUUGAAUUAUGAAACACCUUGUAUGAUGUACACAUAUUUAGCACAAUAUAAUCAAAUAAAUACAUAUUUAUUAACUUGAAAUUACAAUAGGGAAGAUGACUAACAGUUUUAGUAGAUUAAUGAAUAAUAUCGGCCCCCAGAUUAUUAUGACCCUUGAAUCUUAAAAUACCGUUUUUUUUAAAUCUCUGUAGUAGCACGGAGUUUGCAAUUGUGCCCGGUAUAUGGCAUUAGGCUCAA